RNAcentral lists this transfer RNA (71 nucleotides) under Camelus bactrianus (Bactrian camel). It matches the Rfam family "tRNA". From Rfam's summary of the family: Transfer RNA (tRNA) molecules are approximately 80 nucleotides in length. Their secondary structure includes four short double-helical elements and three loops (D, anti-codon, and T loops). Further hydrogen bonds mediate the characteristic L-shaped molecular structure. tRNAs have two regions of fundamental functional importance: the anti-codon, which is responsible for specific mRNA codon recognition, and the 3' end, to which the tRNAs corresponding amino acid is attached (by aminoacyl-tRNA synthetases). tRNAs cope with the degeneracy of the genetic code in two manners: having more than one tRNA (with a specific anti-codon) for a particular amino acid; and 'wobble' base-pairing, i.e. permitting non-standard base-pairing at the 3rd anti-codon position. RNAcentral also lists the same sequence under 2 other names. Lineage: Eukaryota; Metazoa; Chordata; Mammalia; Artiodactyla; Camelidae. The record is from Rfam by way of RNAcentral.
GGGGGUAUAGCUCAGUGUUAGAGCAUGUGCUUGGUGGGCACCAGGUCCUGGGUUCAAUCCUGGUGUCCCCA